This 337-nucleotide unclassified non-coding RNA is filed under the name soil metagenome. RNAcentral describes it as "partial contains 5.8S ribosomal RNA, internal transcribed spacer 2, and large subunit ribosomal RNA". The stretch from base 1 to 120 matches the Rfam family "5.8S ribosomal RNA", at positions 35 to 154 of the family's 154-position model. The record is from RNAcentral.
GAUGAAGAACGCAGCGAAAUGCGAUAAGUAGUGUUAAUUGCAGAAUUCAGUGAAUCAUCGAAUCUUUGAACGCACAUUGCGCCCCUUGGUAUUCCAUGGGGCAUGCCUGUUCGAGCGUCAUUUGUACCUUCAAGCUCUGCUUGGUGUUGGGUGUUUGUCUCGCCUCUGCGUGUAGACUCGCCUCAAAACAAUUGGCAGCCGGCGUAUUGAUUUCGGAGCGCAGUACAUCUCGCGCUUUGCACUCAUAACGACGACGUCCAAAAGUACAUUUUUACACUCUUGACCUCGGAUCAGGUAGGGAUACCCGCUGAACUUAAGCAUAUCAAUAAGCGGAGGA